This 74-nucleotide transfer RNA is filed under the name Chloroflexota bacterium. Its description in RNAcentral is "Chloroflexi bacterium tRNA-Gln". It matches the Rfam family "tRNA". From Rfam's summary of the family: Transfer RNA (tRNA) molecules are approximately 80 nucleotides in length. Their secondary structure includes four short double-helical elements and three loops (D, anti-codon, and T loops). Further hydrogen bonds mediate the characteristic L-shaped molecular structure. tRNAs have two regions of fundamental functional importance: the anti-codon, which is responsible for specific mRNA codon recognition, and the 3' end, to which the tRNAs corresponding amino acid is attached (by aminoacyl-tRNA synthetases). tRNAs cope with the degeneracy of the genetic code in two manners: having more than one tRNA (with a specific anti-codon) for a particular amino acid; and 'wobble' base-pairing, i.e. permitting non-standard base-pairing at the 3rd anti-codon position. The record is from RNAcentral. Lineage: Bacteria; Bacillati; Chloroflexota.
UGGGGCAUGGUGCAACGGCAGCACAGCGGCCUUUGGAGCCGUUUAUUCUGGUUCGAAUCCGGAUGCCCCAGCCU